RNAcentral lists this long non-coding RNA (240 nucleotides) under Elaeis guineensis (African oil palm). RNAcentral describes it as "long non-coding RNA (EGUI_LNC013862)". Lineage: Eukaryota; Viridiplantae; Streptophyta; Magnoliopsida; Arecales; Arecaceae. The record is from RNAcentral.
AGGUGCUGUUACUAAGGGGAUCAGUUGAUUCGCUUAGAUUAGCUUAUCCAUUGAUUAACUACGAUGGAGGUCAGUGGCCAGGAAGAAGGCUAGAAGGUUCUCCGGAGUGGACCAUCCAAGAUCAAUAGGGGGUCGGACAAGUGGGGCUCAGUGCAACUUAAGGUCGAUUUAUCCCAUUGCGUGGAGUCUGAAAAAAAGUCAGCCCUCCGAUAUUCAAUAAGUUGUAAUAGUGUAUGAUCC